This 90-nucleotide transfer RNA is filed under the name Candidatus Peregrinibacteria bacterium CG22_combo_CG10-13_8_21_14_all_49_11. RNAcentral's name for it is "tRNA-Ser". It matches the Rfam family "tRNA". From Rfam's summary of the family: Transfer RNA (tRNA) molecules are approximately 80 nucleotides in length. Their secondary structure includes four short double-helical elements and three loops (D, anti-codon, and T loops). Lineage: Bacteria; Candidatus Peregrinibacteriota. The record is from RNAcentral.
GGAGGGAUGGCUGAGUGGUCGAAAGCGCACGACUCGAAAUCGUGUAGGUCCGAAAGGGCCUCGAGGGUUCAAAUCCCUCUCCCUCCGCCA